AUAACGAUGAAGAAAUGGUCCAGCUGGAAUAAAGGACAGUGGAUACAGCAUCUGAUUUUUUUUUUUUUUACUAAUGCAAAAUAGAAAUGCUGAUCAUAGUUUGGCUUUUUUUUCCCAAAAAAUAUUUUUCAUUCUUCUGUUGCACCUGCGAAAGUGACCUAGGCGAGGAUGACUGCCAGUGAUACCCCGAGAAAAUCCAAUUCUGGGAUUUGGUACAGAAUAGGAUGGGCCUGUUGAGCUGUGGACACAGGUGACAUCCAACCACCAUCAGGAAUAACAUUUCAGCAGUAGCAUGUGGAAUAAAAGCAACUGAAGGGACAAUGGGGGAAAAAUCCCAAAACAACAGGAGGAAAGGAGGUCUGUGGAAUGAUUUCCAGAAGAUGUUUUCAAGAGACAAAUUUUGACCACCGAGAGAAUCUGUGGUGAAGCAUGCAAGCAAAAUGGUGGUGGACCACUUUGAAAUACUCUUGAAUGAAAGUCUAGACUCAUUUCAAAUUGCCUUCCAAUCCAGUGUUGAAACUGAAAUUGCCUUGAUCUCUCUGAUGGAUGACUUAAAACAGGAGUCAGACUAACCUAUGCCAGCUUUUGCCUUCUGCUGCAGAAGAAAGCUCUUACUAUCAUCACCCUUGCCUUGAUAACUUCCACAUGAGAUAACAAAGUGCAUGAUUUGGGACUGCCUUUGAAAGACAUUCAGAAAUGACAGCUGGUCAGAAAUGCAGCAGCCAAGUUGUUAAUCAGGACUUGCCUAGUAUUGUCCCAAGGCUUCAAGUUGGUUGUUGGUUUCUGGCCACACUUCAACACUUCUUUGUUUCGGUUCUGUUUUUUAGACUUCUGGUUGGAUCUACAGCCCAAAUUCUAUUUCAUUAUUUAGUGAAUGGCCCAUCUUGUUUGUUUUGACUCACUCUGUUUAGUCUGCCACCAGUCCCAAAGAGAAAGGGGGACCAUAAACCACAUAAAUAAAGAGCUGGUGCUGAUUUUUAGAGUUUUAUGGGCUCUGUGACCAGGACACCAAAACGGCACGACUCUCAGGUGAAUCUGCCUAUGAAUUGAGAGCCUGCUUUGGGAGUUGCCUAUGUAGAAUACCCUCCCAGAAAAGCUCCGUCUCACUCAUCUCCAGGUUUUUAAAGCUUUCUGUCAGAGGAAAGAGAUAGAUGGCAUUAGGAAAUUAUUGUAGAUUUCUGAAUUUUGAUCUUUUGUAUGUUGGUUGGUGUUUUAUUUCUUUAUAUUUUUUUAAAAAGGAAAAAUAAUCUAUAAGUGUUAUAAAGAGCCCCUUGGGGAUAGGACGGUAUAAAAAAUUAAGAAAUAAAUAAAUAAAAAUAAAACAAAUAUCAUUUUUUAAAAAAUUGGUUAAUGAUGUUUUUACGUUUAUCGAAUUUUCUGUAUUCUAUUGUUCAGUCAUUAUUCUUCAGGAAAGCUUUGAAUUUAGUUUUCAAGUAUUUUAUGGUCAGACAUGAUUAGCAACAAUUGGGUAGCUAAAGAAAACCAUAAUGUUAAGACUUGUGUUUUAUGUGGAGUGAGCAGCUGUCUACCAAGAAGCACUGCUGACCCUUGUGAAAACCUCAGUUCAAGGAACACAGUUUUCUAUGAUAUUCAGUAAUAUAUUUACUGUCCAGUCCAAAUGUGUGUGUGUGUGUGUGUGUGUGUGUGUGUGUGAGAAGGCUCAUUGGAAGUAGUGGAAUGGUUGCAUAAGCAGCUGUGCCUCCAGUUGUGCUAAGUGCCAUGGAUGCUGGCGCAGAGGAUCUUACCUUGGUGGCUGACUGCCACAGUGCCCAGACUUGAAAGCUGAGCACUUAGGUAUGUAAUAGGUAUACAGGAAAGAAGAGAUUAAGUCUGAUUCAGUAUUGGUCCUUUUUAAAAUGAGGCAAUCAAAGUUAACCUGAAUUCUACCCUAAAAACAAGUUCAAAAGAAUUUUAAUGUGAACUGAAACUACCCGAACCAAAAAUAUCUUUACUCCCUUGAACCUGAACCUAGUUCCAGUUUAAGUUCAAGACAACCAGAAAUUCUAGGUCUAGGUUCAGUCUUCUUUUACAACAUAACCACUCUGAACUGAGUUUUUUUGGGGUGGGGGGGUGGGGGGAUAUGAUUCAAAUAAAGUUCAACUCCCUAUGUUAAAAAGCGCACCCGGUUUGGACCGGGGCGCCCGUUGCGGCAGGGAAGGAUUGUUUUAGGAAGUCUGCCCACUUCCCCGUUAGGCCAAGAACGGUGGUCAUGUGACUGUUCCACCGUCACAUGACAGGGGAGCCGGGAGGCUAUAAAAGCCUGUGCCUGGCUCAGCUCGGCCUCUUCGCAAGGCCAGGGGCAAACAGACCCACCCACCCUCCCUAGGGUUAUUAGGGGUUGUUGCAUGUUUUUUUUUACUUAUUUGUCGCAGUCUGGGCGGUU
Molecule: long non-coding RNA, 2383 nt
Organism: Sphaerodactylus townsendi
Lineage: Eukaryota; Metazoa; Chordata; Lepidosauria; Squamata; Sphaerodactylidae
Exons: 3
Source: RefSeq, a predicted model, not a curated record